UGGUUUAAGGAUCCAGUGCUGCCGUGAGCUGUGGUGUAGGUUGCAGACAUGGCUCAAAUCCCGAGUUGCUGUGGCUCUGGUGUAGGCCGGUGGCUACAGCUCCGAUUAGACCCCUAGCCUGGGAACCUCCGUAUGCUGCAGAAGCAGCCCUAGAAAUGGCAAAAAGACAAAUAAUAAUAAUAAAUAAAAAGAAUCAAUAAGUGAUUUGAAAACUAGUACACUAUACAGUUUUAGGAAAACGGCCUGCUUCCAAGUGUUCUUUUUUAGGUGUCAUAUUACCGGGAAUGUGUCUGCGAGGGGAAUCCUGUCAUGUCACCUUGGUGUCUUGUGAGGUUUCCUCUGGUGCCAGCCACUGAACCUGAGGCAGAGCCCAACAGAGCCCCUUUCACAUUUCAGGGUGCAAGCCUGCUUUCCAGACCUCUAGCCUUGGUUUCCAAUGAGAGAAAAAGGUACCAGAAAGUGCUCUUGGCAAGUUUGGGAACAAGGAGGAAAGGUGUAGACUUUUUUCCCCCCAUUAAAGUUUUCAUGUACUGGCAAUUUAAAACCCAAAGCAUUGUUUACCACCUGUCAGAUGCACUGGGAAGUGUAGGGAUUAACUAAUAAAAGAUUCGUAAAAUGCUUCCUGAAUAUAAAAUUCCAUAAAUAUGCUAAAUAGUAAUAAUCCACCCAUUGUUAAAUUUAUGUAGCUGCUUCUGUCAUGCAUACAAGAUGAUUUAGAAUGCAUGUUUCCUGUCAAUUAAACAAUGAGUUUGGAGGAAAAUAAUGAGUUCAAUUCGCAUCCUAUGAAACUUUUGAAAUACAAUUUCUCCCAUAAGGCACCAUUGGCGGGGAGUCAUAAAGUAAGCGGCAUUUCAAAAAGCUAUAUAUGGAAUGGCAUUUACCUUAUGGUUGGGGGAAAAGGGACCCAGCAAACUUCUGAAACUAAGAAAUAUGCAGCCCUCAUUCGAGUGUGCCUGAAACCAUAAAUAUUCCCUUACGUUUUAGGUGAGACAACAGGGAGGGCAAACGGGUUUUGUGGGAUGGCCUUAUAGCUGUCCUCUUGAAUCCAUGAAAUAUGCCUCUUGCUAUUUCGAGGCUGAAGUUUAAUCUGUGGUUUUGUUCAUAGACAAAGGGGAAAGUCUUCAGAGUUGCUUGGAUAAAUUAUUCAUUCUUCCAAUAUCAUGGGCUUCGUUUUUAAGCAUUCUUAACACCAGUAAUCAUUUUAAUAUCCUGCAGAUAAUUGAAUUAGUUUGUUCCCAGUGGACUGAGUGACAUGUUAACAUUGUUCUCUUUGCAUGUAUUUAAUAAGAAAGUGUGUCAUUCUUCUGUUUACCAGUCUCCUGGAAUAAAAGCCAUUCCUUAUAUGCUAAUUUUAGGUAGGAACAUUGCUAUGGAUGGUCUGUUUAGGCUUAUGAAGACAACCCUAGACUUCCCACUAGCUGAUUAAGGGGUGAGCAAAACCAUAAAGUUGCGAAUGCUUUUCCUUGAUACCUUCCCACUUUCCGUAGCCUUUUCUUCUCAUUUCCUUUACUCAGCUCUCUCAGAUGGACAGGUGCUAAACAGAUACCAGUCUAGUAGUCCAGAACUUCCCUCUGCCCCCACUCUUCCUUUAUCCAAGUAACUUAACCUCUGCCCUACUUCUAGUCCAACAGCUUGCUAUAGCUGCAAGUGCACUAGGUGAAAAAUCAAGAGAGUCCACGUGUGGCUAUGCUAUACCCGGCACUGUGCACCAUUAUCUCAUUAAACCCCUGUGAUCAUCUGAGGCAGUAGAUGCCAUCUGUGUUUCACACAAGAGGAAACUUAGCCUCAGAGAAGCUCUGGACCAGGGCCUUUUGGCACUUCCUAAUGCACUGUAUCCCCUAAGAAGGGCUCACAUUCUGUACUGAAGCAUGAAAGACUUCUCCCAUUUACCUAACUUGCCAUUUGAUAAGUCCCUUGAGCUCUCUGGGCCUUUGAUUUCCUUUCUCUUGUUUUGGAUUAAAUUGUCUCUCAAAGAUCGAAGGAACUGACUGUUCCAGGAUUUGGGCUGCGAAGCACAUAAGGUGCCCCUCCCAGGGGAUUACUGACUGUGCUCUCCCCUGCCCUGCCCUUUCCUCCAAUCCCUUCCCUUGUUUAUCUUUUUGCUUCCUUUAAGUCCAAGAAAAGAUCACCUUCUCCUAGAGGCUUUUCCCAGUCACAGCUUGGACUUCAGUUAUUCCCUCCUUCAGUCUUAGUGAUCCUUUGGAACACUGAUUACAAGCUGUGGUUAUUUUAUUUGUGUGUCAGCUGACAUGCGGUGGUUGUUUUUUAUCUUCUCCCCCAUCCCUCCCCCAUAAGAUGAUAAGCAGCAUGAGGCCAGAGCUCUUUUUUGUCUGUUUUUAAUAUUUAUUUUCAGGGCCUGACUCUGUGACACAUAGUUGGUGGUCAAGAAGUAUAUGUUGAAUGAAUAAUUGUCUCUUAUAAAGGACAUGGGUUAAUGGCCAAUGUAUUGUCCCCUUCCUCGGGAUAACCUAAAUGAAGUCCAUCAGUCUUACACUGUGAGGGAGUUCUCACGGUGGCUCAGCGGUAACAAACCCGACUAGUAUCCAUGAGGAUGCAGGUUUGAUCCCUGGCCUCGCUCAGCGGGUUACAGAUCUGGCGUUGCAAGGGAGCUACAGUGCAGGUUGCAGAUGAGGCUCAUGUCCCACAUGGCUGAGGCUGUGGACUAAGCCUGUACCUGCAUCUCUGAUUUGACCCAUAGCCUGGGAACUUCCAUAGGCCUCGGGAGUGGCCCUAAAAAAACAAAACAAAACAAAACAAAACAAAAAUCUCACACUGUGAGAGUAAGCCUAAAUUAUAAAUGAGGAUCCAAGUAUAGUGACAGAAACAUCAGGUCUACCCUCGGUUGAUAGGACAGAUGGGCAAACUGCAUAUGGUCCCACCUCCAUAUUUUACAGCAGAAAGAACCACCUCAGAAUGAUAACAGAAAUGUGGGUUUAGAAGACACCAGAAGAGACCAGUCCAUGGUCUAAACCAUUGCUUUACUGACAAAGAGACUGAAGCUCAGAAAAACACAGAACCCAAAGUAUAGAAUCUAUGCCUCCUGACUUCCAGACCAGCACUCUUUUCACCAAGAAUCAAAAAUCUCAGUAAUCAUCUAGUCAACAAGGGUGGGGAAUUUGGGACAAUGAUGCUUUCUUUCAGAAAUUACAAAGAUCCUUAGGUUUCCCAGACCAAUCCUGGAAGCAGCAUUACUCCAGAGAAGAACAUCCUAUUCAUAUCAUCUUAUUUUAAAAUUUCAUAUGGCCUCUAUAAACUACAGGGACUCAUUUACUAUUUUAAGGCUCCAUCAGGCAACCUUGUAAUACCUAUCAUUAGUUUACCAAUUCUGUUUAAAUACUUGGGAGCUCCAAAUGAGAAAUCUUCAGCACUGAGCAUUUAACACUAGUGUGAUAGAUUUCAGAUACAUUUAAAAAAUGAUUGGUAUUUUGAACUCUAAAAAAUGAUGGCGUGUUUUUAAAGGCUAAAAUAACUUUUCUUCUCUAACUUAGACAGCAAUCCUUGCUAGAGUAUUCCUUCUCAGUAAAAAAGCUGUUCUUAAACUUUAGAGGUCAAAAAAAUCAUCUGCAAGGCUUUUUAAAAACCCAGAUAGCUCGGAGCCAUUCUGCACAAUUCUGAAUUAAUACAUAUGAGAUUGAACUCAGACAACUGCAUUUUUAACAGAUACCUUUAGUGAUUUCUCCAUCAAAUGGUCUGAAGUCUCACCCUGAGAUCCAAAAAUAACUUUGGAAUGUUGUGAAUUUUCCCAGAUUCCUUCUAAGAGGAUUUUUAAUCAAAAAAUCAGUGUGUUUGAAUCCAGCAGAUAGUUAUGAUCAAAAUCAGUUUAUUAGGUAUUAUGAACAUCUGUUUCCUUAUAGUAAGAGCCAUAAUGUAUAAUCAUGAUUUAGCUCCUAGCUUUGAUAUUGGCUCCAAAGUAAGAACAUUCCAAAACAUUUCUGCUGGGCC
This 3942-nucleotide long non-coding RNA is filed under the name Sus scrofa (pig). RNAcentral describes it as "lncRNA (ENSSSCG00050001166.1)". Lineage: Eukaryota; Metazoa; Chordata; Mammalia; Artiodactyla; Suidae. The record is from RNAcentral.